Molecule: non-coding RNA, 278 nt
Organism: Hemicordylus capensis (graceful crag lizard)
Lineage: Eukaryota; Metazoa; Chordata; Lepidosauria; Squamata; Cordylidae
Product: small Cajal body-specific RNA 6
Exons: 1
Source: RefSeq, a predicted model, not a curated record
GGUCAGUGAUGACUAGAGAAAGGUCUGAUUGCACCAGAAAAUUGCACACUCGUUACUUUCUCAGCUCCCAGCAAUUUUGUUUUCCUCUCUCCUCUCUAUACUCCAGCAAUGUUGUGAGGUGUUAACAAGGCUGCUGACAUUAUAUGGAUAAAGUCAGUGCAUGUCACCCACAGUGUAAGGGGCUUGGCCUUGGCUGUCAUCCAACAAAGCCAAUCAAGGAGCUGUUCAUUUUGGGGUGUGUCUUGAGGUGCAUGAUCUUUAGUUUUCAAGCUGAGACC